RNAcentral lists this ribosomal RNA (497 nucleotides) under uncultured Sphingobacteriales bacterium. RNAcentral's name for it is "bacterial SSU rRNA". It matches the Rfam family "Bacterial small subunit ribosomal RNA", at positions 884 to 1382 of the family's 1533-position model. The record is from RNAcentral. Lineage: Bacteria; Pseudomonadati; Bacteroidota; Sphingobacteriia; Sphingobacteriales.
CCAGCCCGCUCAGAAACUCAAAGGAAGUUGACGGGGCCCGCACAAGCGGAGGAGCAUGUGGUUUAAUUCGAUGAUACGCGAGGAACCUUACCUGGGCUCGAACGUAAGAUGACUGUAGGUGAAAGCUUACAUCUCUUCGGAGCAUUUUACGAGGUGCUGCAUGGUUGUCGUCAGCUCGUGCCGUGAGGUGUCGGGUUAAGUCCCAUAACGAGCGCAACCCUACCUUUAGUUGCCAUCAGGUAAUGCUGGGGACUCUAAAGGAACUGCCUACGCAAGUAGUGAGGAAGGCGGGGAUGACGUCAAAUCAGCACGGCCCUUACGUCCAGGGCUACACACGUGCUACAAUGGCCGAUACAGAGGGCAGCUACCUGGUGACAGGAUGCAAAUCUCCAAAGUCGGUCUCAGUUCGGAUCGGAGUCUGCAACCCGACUCCGUGAAGUUGGAUUCGCUAGUAAUCGCGCAUCAGCCAUGGCGCGGUGAAUACGUUCCCGGGCCUU